UACGAGGGGUGCAAGCGUUGCUCGGAAUUAUUGGGCGUAAAGAGCUUGUAGGCGGUCUGUCGCGUCUGCUGUGAAAACCCGAGGCUCAACCUCGGGCCUGCAGUGGGUACGGGCAGACUAGAGUGCGGUAGGGGAGAUUGGAAUUCCUGGUGUAGCGGUGGAAUGCGCAGAUAUCAGGAGGAACACCAAUGGCGAAGGCAGAUCUCUGGGCCGUAACUGACGCUGAGGAGCGAAAGCAUGGGGAGCGAACAGG
This 253-nucleotide ribosomal RNA is filed under the name uncultured bacterium. RNAcentral's name for it is "partial 16S ribosomal RNA". It matches the Rfam family "Bacterial small subunit ribosomal RNA", at positions 524 to 776 of the family's 1533-position model. The record is from RNAcentral.